This 253-nucleotide ribosomal RNA is filed under the name uncultured bacterium. RNAcentral's name for it is "partial 16S ribosomal RNA". It matches the Rfam family "Bacterial small subunit ribosomal RNA", at positions 524 to 776 of the family's 1533-position model. The record is from RNAcentral.
UACAGAGGGGGCCAGCGUUAUUCGGAAUUAUUGGGCGUAAAGGGCGCGUAGGCGGCCAUGCGUGUCUUCCGUGAAAUCCCUCGGCUUAACUGAGGACGUGCGGAAGAAACUGCAAGGCUUGAGUCCGGGAGAGGGGGGUGGAAUUCCCAGUGUAGCGGUGAAAUGCGUAGAUAUUGGGAGGAACACCGGUGGCGAAGGCGGCCCCCUGGACCGGUACUGACGCUGAGACGCGAAAGCGUGGGGAGCGAACAGG